RNAcentral lists this long non-coding RNA (1066 nucleotides) under Chrysemys picta bellii (western painted turtle). Its description in RNAcentral is "lncRNA (ENSCPBG00000017051.1)". The record is from RNAcentral. Lineage: Eukaryota; Metazoa; Chordata; Testudines; Emydidae.
CAGAAGCGCGGAUGCCUUUGACGCCAGAGGCAGCCCAGGCCGCGCGUGACAUCUUAGCCCUUCCGGUGCCAGGAGCGCCACCUCAGUCGGGUACCCGGUUCCGUGGGAAGCUGCCCUUGGGUGCCCAUCAGCCCUCCCCGGAGGUAUCGGAGGUCGAGGUGCCUUCCCGGGUGGAAGGGCCGAGCCGAGGCCCACGACGCACUUCUACUCCGCGAGCCGGGUCUUCUGUGAGCGAGUGUAACUCCUCCGGUCUCGGGGACCAUGGAGGAGGUAACAAGAGGCGACGCCGUUCCUCCUCAAGCCAGCCUGAGAGGAACAGGUCUCGCCGCUGUCGGCACCGGUGCUCGUACUCUAGUGCCCGCCGCCAGAGACACCGUACUCAGAGUGCGUCCCGAGAGUCCCCGCACAGAGGCGCCAUGGCCACGGGCGCCGAAGGGAAUCCAGAGACAGCUCCUCUGACAUCUACCUGUCUUCAUCAUCCAGGUCGAAGUCUUGCGGCCGGAGAUGUCAUGGUAGAGACCGCUCCAGUCGUUCAUACGGCACCGUGCACUCGUCCAGGACUUCAGCAUCGGCGUGCAGCCAUCCCUCCCCGGGCCGCUCCGCACCACAGGAGCAACCGGCUCUGCCAGGCCCCUAUACGUCUCAGUGCCGGGCGGUUCCCUGGCAAGGACAAUGGUGCCAGUGGACACCAUGGCCUCAGGGACCCGCACAGCCAGGAGCCCACUCCGUGACGGGAGCCUCUCAGGCCCACUCGGUGUCGCCUCUCUGGCACCAUGAUCGGGCCACGGGUGCCGAACCACCAGCACCGACCCCGGGCCAGGGCCCGGACUUCGAGCCACAGAUGCUGCCGGUCGCUGAAGGCACUGUGCCACCUACCUCCCCGGCACUGGGCAAUUCAGUUGCGGUGCCGCCUCCGGCAUCUCAGGAGGACUUUAAGGCGCACCAGGAGCUGCUUAGGAGGGUGGCAGCAAACCUCCAGCUCCAGGCCGAGGAGAUGGAGGAGCCCUCGGACACUUUGUUUAAUGUCCUCACCUCCUCGGCACCGGGUUGUGUGGCCCUUCCACUG